Molecule: long non-coding RNA, 2408 nt
Organism: Lucilia sericata (common green bottle fly)
Lineage: Eukaryota; Metazoa; Arthropoda; Insecta; Diptera; Calliphoridae
Exons: 3
Source: RefSeq, a predicted model, not a curated record
CUGUGAACGCCGUCAAAAAUUAACGAUGGUGGCGGCGGCUUAAAAUUGACUGACUUUAAGCCGGGUAAAAGUUAUUUUCUAAAGUGAAUAUUUAGAACUAACAAAAACAGGAUAUAUUUUAAAAUUAAAAAAUCUUCAUAAUAUUCUUUUACUCGAAAUAAAAAUAUUUUUAUUUGUGCACCAUAACGAUAUUAGAAAAUGCUGUAAAUUUUAUGUUAUUAUUCACAUAUAUGAAUAGUUUAAUACAUUUGAUACGUUUUUUAUAUCUGGCGGGAUUUUUCCACAGUAGAGUUGACAACAUAUGCCUAUGUCAGCAUGAAAGAAAAAGACGAAGGAAAAAUGAAAAGAAACCAGUUGAAUGUUGUAAAAGUGAGACAUAAAACGCAAAUUGUAAAAACUUUAUUACAAAAUUAUGAAAUUUUUGUUAAUAAAAACAAAACAAAUUGACAAAUUUUACUAUAAACAUAUUAUAUAAUGUACGUACUUGAAAAAACGAAUAAAAUUUAAAAGAUAUAAACAAAAAUAUUAUAAACAAAUUGAAAACAAAACAAAGUAAUUGUUUUUGUCACUAACAAGAAAAACUAACACAAGCAAAUUUAAAAAAGAAAGAAGAAUAAUGAAAAAGGCAAACAAGUAAAGGAAGACGAGUGAAAAAAUUAACUUAAAAUAUAGUGAUUUGAUAAUAACUUCUAUAACAUAUAGAAGAAAAUCAAUUAAUAAAAAAAAAAAUAAUAUUAAAGUAAACAAUUGAUUGAUUGUACAAUAUAUUGUAUGUAUGAAUGUGUAUAUGUAUGAAGAAAAAACAGAAGUAAAGCAAAAUAAAAUAAUAAAAGACGUGUGAGCGCUACUGACAGUGACGUAUGUAGUAAAAUCGUGCAGUGUAUGUUUGUUUUUGUACAAUAAAUUAUUAUAUAUAUGUACACAUGUAGGUAUAGAUGUGUGUCUAUAUAUCUCUUUCAAUUAGAGAAAAUAAAUACAAAAUAAAUAUUAAUAAAAAAGUACAUAACAAGGAAGUUAAAAAGGAAUAAUAAAUAAGAAGAAGCAGAAGAAGAUUUGGUGCUGCUGCUGCUUUUUUUGUGCAAAUUCUCAUUUUCAAUUUACUUUUAUUUUAUUUGUUCUUUAUAUGGAAAUCAAGUGAGUGAUAGAUAGAUAUGUGUAUACUACGGUGAAAAGCAAAAUAAAAGAAAAAUAAAUUCUUAAACGAGAUUUUUCCUUAAGCUUUUUUAUUUUGGCUAAAAAUAGCAACAGUUUUUCUUUCAACAAUUUUUGUUCUGCCAUUUUUUUGGGCAAGUAAAAGUAACCAGGAAACAAAAUACAUACUUUUUUCACUACAAUAAGUAAUAUAUUAAUUAAAAUAAACGAAUUGCAACAAAUAUUUAAGUUUUAAAAUAUUUCAAAUACCUAUUUUUUCUAAAAAAAACGUGUUUUAAUAAAGUGAAAUCUUUCAAAAAAAAAAUAUUAUCAAUAACUUACAAAGUGUGCGUGUGAGUGUGUGUACAAUAUGCUACUGAAAUUUACUAAAACAAGUGGAACUGGAGCUGGUUCCAGUUCUUCCACAUCAUCAUCUAGCAUGGCUGGGACUUACAUUGCUCGAGGAACAGGUUAGUACUAUAAUAAAGUUUAAGGAAAAUAUGGAGAUAUUAACCAUUUUGGUAUAAAGUGUAAGUUAAUUUUAUUAGUUUCAAAUUAAAAUAAAUUUUUUCAAUUAACAAGUGGUCCUGUCUUUGGUAUCGUUUAGAAUUUUGUUAUUAAUAGUAUUUUUAUAUUGUAAAGAAAAUAUCUUUAUAGUUAUUUAAAUACAAUUAAAUUGAAAAACUAAAUUAAUUGUAGCUCUAAUAUGAAUUAUUUUUAAUUUUAUUUCAUUUUAAAGCAUAUAUGUUAACUCUUGUUUACGUUUCUUCUUCUGUUUUGUCUGGGUAUUAGGCAUUCACAUGAAAAUGAUAGUCUGACAUUGAAUACAAAAUAAACAUACGAAUAACAAAUGUAAAGUUAUACGGAAACACAACAAAAAUUAACAACAAUGAAAAUAAUACAAAAAUGCAAAGGAUACGUAGAUACAAGAGGGUUGUGAGUAAAACAUUUGUGUAUAUUAAUUAGGAAAGGUUUCAUAAAAUAUAUUAAAAUUAUGUAUAACAAGUGAGAGUUCUAUAUAAUCGGCUGUGCUGAAUCUGUUUAUAUUUUUUACCAAAAAUACUAGUUGGAAAACGAAAAAGUGCCAGAAAAGUACUAUUUUAUAGAUUUUUGCAAUUUUUAAUAUUAAAACAAUUCAAAAAGUACCAGUUGAAGUGCGAAAAAGUAGCACAAUCUUUACUUUUAAACAUUUUCAUUCCAUCUGGAUGCUAUAUAUAUGUAUGUCUUUAUGUUUCUAGGUUCAGUAUUGCAGAAAAUUCCAAAAGUACAUUUUGAAG